This 462-nucleotide ribosomal RNA is filed under the name uncultured Rhodocyclaceae bacterium. Its description in RNAcentral is "bacterial SSU rRNA". It matches the Rfam family "Bacterial small subunit ribosomal RNA", at positions 919 to 1382 of the family's 1533-position model. The record is from RNAcentral. Lineage: Bacteria; Pseudomonadati; Pseudomonadota; Betaproteobacteria; Rhodocyclales; Rhodocyclaceae.
ACCCGCACAAGCGGUGGAUGAUGUGGAUUAAUUCGAUGCAACGCGAAAACCUUACUACCCUUGACAUGUCCGGAAUCCUGGAGAGAUCUGGGAGUGCUCGCAAGAGAACCGGAACACAGGUGCUGCAUGGCUGUCGUCAGCUCGUGUCGUGAGAUGUUGGGUUAAGUCCCGCAACGAGCGCAACCCUUGUCAUUAGUUGCCACCAUUCAGUUGGGCACUCUAAUGAGACUGCCGGUGACAAACCGGAGGAAGGUGGGGAUGACGUCAAGUCCUCAUGGCCCUUAUGGGUAGGGCUUCACACGUCAUACAAUGGUCGGUACAGAGGGUCGCCAACCCGCGAGGGGGAGCCAAUCCCACAAAGCCGAUCGUAGUCCGGAUUGGAGUCUGCAACUCGACUCCAUGAAGUCGGAAUCGCUAGUAAUCGUGGAUCAGCAUGUCACGGUGAAUACGUUCCCGGGUCUU